Molecule: ribosomal RNA, 253 nt
Filed under: uncultured bacterium
Lineage: Bacteria
Description: partial 16S ribosomal RNA
Rfam family: Bacterial small subunit ribosomal RNA
Source: RNAcentral
UACGUAGGGUGCGAGCGUUAAUCGGAAUUACUGGGCGUAAAGCGUGCGCAGGCGGUUCGUUGUGUCGGCGGUGAAAGCCCCCGGGCUCAACCUGGAAACUGCCCCUGAUACUAUUAGUCUUGAAUAUUGAUGAGGUGGGCGGAACGGGUCAUGUAGCGGUGAAUGACUUAGAGAUGACCCGGAACACCAAUUGCGAAGGCAGCUCACUGGGCAAUUAUUGACGCUGAGGCACGAAAGCGUGGGGAUCAACAGG